GCCAGCAGCUAGAUUCCCCUCCCCCCUGGAACCAACAAUGAACUUUCUGUUUGGUUCAGGGGAUCAUUGUAACUCAGAACACUUCCUGUUUAGCAUUCUCAGUUACAGAGGGGAGCUGCACUUCUGCCUGUAUCCAAAGAUAUUCCAUUUCCCUGGACUGUAUAGAGGGUAUGCAAGCUGGAUCUAAAUUAAUGAAAUCAUCUUUUGGCUGCAUUCCUGCUGGAUUUAUAAGGAAUAUGAGAUGCUGUGUCUCAUGAGAUUGCACCAGAGAUCAGAAACAGAAAUAAAUAAAUCCUAGUGGUCUUCCAUGUUCCAAAGUAAAAUGGACUUUCUGUAUGAUCCAAUAUUCAGCACAAAGAUCAACCUAAGUAAUAUUGACCAGAAGAAAUGUUCAGGUGACUCCUAAUUCAGCUGCACUGCCAGUUCCCAAAUUCUGUCUCCUCCACAAUCUGCAUAAUUAGAUAAUGGAAGAAAUGACAGGACCAUAGGAAACUAGGGCCCAAAGGGACUUCACAAGGUCAUCUAUUCCAGCCCCCUACUAAAGCUGAUAUGUCAAAAGGAGUAACUUGGAACUGGUAAUUUUACAAGCAGCACACAAAGUGAGAAGAAACUCUGCCCCUGCUGGAAAAAAUACUGAUAAGACAAAUAAUUGUAUUCUGUUCAUUUUAG
This is a long non-coding RNA of Alligator mississippiensis (American alligator), 669 nucleotides long. RefSeq lists it as uncharacterized. The transcript has 5 exons. The record is from RefSeq and is a predicted model, not a curated record. NCBI's taxonomy places the organism in Eukaryota, Metazoa, Chordata, Crocodylia, Alligatoridae.